Molecule: ribosomal RNA, 445 nt
Filed under: uncultured bacterium
Lineage: Bacteria
Description: partial 16S ribosomal RNA
Rfam family: Bacterial small subunit ribosomal RNA
Source: RNAcentral
GUGAGGAAUAUUGGUCAAUGGACGGAAGUCUGAACCAGCCAUGCCGCGUGCAGGAAUAAGGUCCUAUGGAUUGUAAACUGCUUUUAUUCGGGAAUAAACCUCUUUACGUGUAGGGAGCUGAAGGUACCGAAGGAAUAAGCACCGGCUAACUCCGUGCCAGCAGCCGCGGUAAUACGGAGGGUGCAAGCGUUAUCCGGAAUCAUUGGGUUUAAAGGGUCCGCAGGCGGGCUAUCAAGUCAGAGGUGAAAUCCCACAGCUUAACUGUGGAACUGCCUUUGAAAAUGAUGGUCUUGAAUUAAGUGGGCGUUGGCGGAAUAUGACAUGUAGCGGUGAAAUGCAUAGAUAUGUCAUGGAACACCGAAAGCGAAGGCAGCUAACGAUACUUAUAUUGACGCUCAUGGACGAAAGCGUGGGUAGCGAACAGGAUUAGAAACCCGUGUAGUCC